UGGUGUUUUAACAUAUGCUCAAUUGUACAGACCGUUUCUCUCCUUUAACAAUAGGUCUUUGACAGUUCCUCGGGCUCUGGAGUGUGAUGUUCUGAGUGUAAAUGCAAGCUGUCCUGCUCUGUAACUCUACAGCCUUGAGCACCGUAGUGCCUCACUGCCCCGUGGUGUUUCAUCUGUGCUGUACAAUGAUGACCAGCAACAUUGUGCAUCUUGGAAGUGUGCUCUGAGCACUGAAUGACUCAACACUUUAAAAGGCUAUGUAUCUUACCCCUGCCCAUUCAACUGAGAAAACCAGUUUCACUUAUUUUGCUGUGCCUUAAGAAAAGCGCUGGUCUUGUCUCUGAGAAACAAUUGCUCCUAUCUGAAGCCACUUCAAAUGGGUCCUCAAGUAAAUAUCCAAGAUACCAAACAAAUGACCACAAGAAGUUCUAUACAAGUAAGGCCUUUGGGCCACCUUUGUAAACAGCACUAAUCUUCAUUGUACAGACACACAGUGCUAUACAAUAUACCAGUAAUAACGAGAGAACGGGGGUAGAUAGGGUAUAGAUGAAAUUCAGAAAUAUGGUACUUGGUGAAAAUUGACAAUUAUACAAUAGCAGCCUGUUAAACCUGUGAACCUAUAUUGGUUAAAAAGUUCCCUGUACAGUUUUGGUAAAAUGCAGGUGUUUGGAGCCUGUCCCAGACAUACAGAAUCUCUUUAUUUGAUGUUUUUUAGUAUAUAUGAUUACUGCUUUAUGCACUUGGUGAUAUAUUAUGUCCUGGGGAAUAAUUACAUGU
Onychomys torridus (southern grasshopper mouse) is the source of this 777-nucleotide long non-coding RNA. RefSeq lists it as uncharacterized. Lineage: Eukaryota; Metazoa; Chordata; Mammalia; Rodentia; Cricetidae. The record is from RefSeq and is a predicted model, not a curated record. The transcript is spliced from 3 exons.